CGGUUUUCAACCUAGGGCAAUCGCAACAGCCGCCUCCAUCCUUGCGCUUCUCUAAACUUUUUGUCAUCGAUACCUUUAGAUCUCGCUUCUAUGGCGACGAAUCUUUUAUUUAUUGCUUCUGUUUGUGAUAGCGAGUCCUCCGAUCUACACAACGGUGUUGAUUUUCCAGCAAUUUAACCGUUUUAAGUCCUUUCAUCGGUAGAUCUGACGCAGAUCUCAUGAAACCUAUACUUCCUCUACGGAUCUGCCGGUGGGAUCAUCGCGUGAGGGGUGUCUAUGAUGCGAGUCGGUUGCGUUGAAGCGCUUUGAGGUUGAAUCGAAUUCGUUAUGGACGUGAAGCGGUGUUCUUGUGUGGGUUAAGUUAAAAUUAGGAUGUAGAAGAUGUUGAAUUGCAUCUUUUGUCAUCCGACCUUUGCCAUGUCAGGUGCGCUUGCAUGGCAGGUCAAAAACAGAUCCUUAAUAAAAAUAUAUAUUUUGUGGUUGGGAGGGGAGUUCGCACGGGUUAUUUUUUUUUAUCCCGGGUUCUCCUCUCCUUGUGUGCGUGUCUUGCUCUCGGCUUUCACACACUCUAUUUAUUAUUAUGCAUCACAACUCUAACAGAUAGUCAUGAAACACCCUUAAUACCAGAGCUAGCUAUCAACCUGGAGUUGUGUCAAUUUGUUUCUUCAUGCCCCAACAUUCAGGCACUCGUAAGUAUUUUUAAGACAAAUUAGUUUCUCAAAAGUAUAUCGCAAUCACUCUCAUACAAAGUUAUCAGCAUACCUGUUCUUAUUCAUUCCGUCUGUCAUGCAAUUUUACAAUUUUAUUGUUGUUCAGUUGUAUUGAUCUUAUCUAAUUAUAUUGUUUCUCUUUUGUUAAAGAAUUGACAAAUGCUUUUGAACAACUAGCUUUCCGAUCUAUACACAUGUAUAUUGUAUUUUUAUUACUCUUUAUCUGGUUUGAGGUGUAUAUUUUGAGAAUUUCUCAAGGCUAUGCUGUUACUCGAUAUUUGAUGUCUGAAGAAGCGUGGAGCAUGAUGAACACACUUGGAGCAUGGUGAAAACAAUAGUUAGGAAACACAGAUAUGUUUUAGUUAAUAUAAACCAAGCGAUGGACAAAAGCUUCUACGAAGAGAAGCCAAUUUGCCGAGUCAAACGAGCUCCAAAUCAGAAGCUGAUCUUGAAUCACAAGCUGAAGACUUCCAUUCACCAAAGGGCUACAAAGGUGCGAGUGUUGUCGUGUUAAUCUCAAAUCUCCUUGACCACAAACCAAGAAACGCAUCCACGUUGAUGAAGAGGCUAUAUUAUCAAGAGUGUGGUCUGUAAAAAAAAGAAGCAGAAGCUAUACCACUGGUUUUUCAAGCUCGAUGCAGAGAUAGAAUGCAGAAGAGGAAGAAGCUUGAGAGAAGUCAGAAAGAACAGAUUCAGGAGAGCCUGAUCAAGAACAACAACAAAGCCAGCUAGGUCUGUUCUUAAGGUCUUCUAAGUUGUAAAGUAUUUAGAAUCCUUCUUAAGGAUUCCGUUUCUUGCUAACAAUCACUGCUUAGGGAGGUUGAUUAUAAUAACAUGAAUCAAUGGAUUGUUAAAGAGGAGCUGACCUGUGUUCUGAGACUUGAAGUUACCUUACUGCUUCGUUGCAACACGAAAUGUGCCAGGAGUCUCAUUCAUCGAUUGAACUUCCAUUUUUUUCAGGACCAGAGGAAGGAAAGUUGCAUUCAAUCCAUUGGGGAUGUAUCCGUUACUAAAAGUUGGAUACAUCAAUCGACCUUUUAACAAGCCAAGCAACGAUGUAAAAUUCUGAAGUGAACCCAUACUCGGUCCUGCCGUUAUGUUACUAUCUAUAUGUGUUCAAAUAAAUAUUUUAUAUCAUCUCUUGUUAGAGAAAUCAACAAUUUAUCCCUACUCAAAAGUAAUUAUUGUUGUAUAAUAAAAGCUGAGGUUUAGUUUA
This is a long non-coding RNA of Brassica oleracea var. oleracea, 1926 nucleotides long. RefSeq lists it as uncharacterized. The transcript has 4 exons. The record is from RefSeq and is a predicted model, not a curated record. NCBI's taxonomy places the organism in Eukaryota, Viridiplantae, Streptophyta, Magnoliopsida, Brassicales, Brassicaceae.